CAGCAGCCGCGGUAAUACGAAGGGUGCAAGCGUUACUCGGAAUUACUGGGCGUAAAGCGUGCGUAGGUGGUGGUUUAAGUCCGUUGUGAAAGCCCUGGGCUCAACCUGGGAAUUGCAGUGGAUACUGGGUCACUAGAGUGUGGUAGAGGAUAGUGGAAUUUCCGGUGUAGCAGUGAAAUGCGUAGAGAUCGGAAGGAACAUCUGUGGCGAAGGCGACUAUCUGGGCCAACACUGACACUGAGGCACGAAAGCGUGGGGAGCAAACAGGAUUAGAUACCCCAGUAGUCCCUGUCUCUUAUAC
This 301-nucleotide ribosomal RNA is filed under the name uncultured bacterium. Its description in RNAcentral is "partial 16S ribosomal RNA". It matches the Rfam family "Bacterial small subunit ribosomal RNA", at positions 509 to 807 of the family's 1533-position model. The record is from RNAcentral.